GGAGGGGGUUAGCGUUGUUCGGAAUUACUGGGCGUAAAGCGCACGUAGGCGGAUUAGUAAGUUAGAGGUGAAAUCCCAGGGCUCAACCCUGGAACUGCCUUUAAUACUGCUAGUCUUGAGUUCGAGAGAGGUAAGUGGAAUUCCGAGUGUAGAGGUGAAAUUCGUAGAUAUUCGGAGGAACACCAGUGGCGAAGNCCGCUUACUGGCUCGAUACUGACGCUGAGGUGCGAA
Molecule: ribosomal RNA, 231 nt
Filed under: uncultured marine bacterium pM-33
Lineage: Bacteria; Pseudomonadati; Pseudomonadota; Alphaproteobacteria
Description: partial 16S ribosomal RNA
Rfam family: Bacterial small subunit ribosomal RNA
Source: RNAcentral